Molecule: ribosomal RNA, 313 nt
Filed under: uncultured Sediminicola sp.
Lineage: Bacteria; Pseudomonadati; Bacteroidota; Flavobacteriia; Flavobacteriales; Flavobacteriaceae
Description: bacterial SSU rRNA
Rfam family: Bacterial small subunit ribosomal RNA
Source: RNAcentral
GAUGAACGCUAGCGACAGGCCUAACACAUGCAAGUCGAGGGGUAACAGAUGAAGAGCUUGCUCAGAUUGCUGACGACCGGCGCACGGGUGAGUAACACGUAUGCAACCUACCUUUUACAGAGGGAUAGCCCAGAGAAAUUUGGAUUAAUACCUCAUGGUAUUAUUGAUAGGCAUCUAUUAAUAAUUAAAGGUUACGGCAAAAGAUGAGUAUGCGUCCCAUUAGCUAGUUGGUGAAGUAACGGUUCACCAAGGCAACGAUGGGUAGGGGUCCUGAGAGGGAGAUCCCCCACACUGGUACUGAGACACGGACCAG